RNAcentral lists this signal recognition particle RNA (299 nucleotides) under Cebus imitator (Panamanian white-faced capuchin). RNAcentral's name for it is "Metazoan signal recognition particle RNA (ENSCCAG00000013603.1)". It matches the Rfam family "Metazoan signal recognition particle RNA". Rfam says of the family: The signal recognition particle (SRP) is a universally conserved ribonucleoprotein. It is involved in the co-translational targeting of proteins to membranes. Lineage: Eukaryota; Metazoa; Chordata; Mammalia; Primates; Cebidae. The record is from RNAcentral.
GCUGGGCGCGGUGGCACGUGCCUAUAGUCCCAGCUACUCAGGAGGCUAAGGCUGGAGGACUGCUUGAGUCCAGGAGUUCUGGGCUGUAGUGUGCUAUGCCAGUAGGGUGUCCCCACUAAGUUCGGCAUUAAUACAGUGACCUCCCAGGAGCGGGGAACCACCAGGUUGCCUAAGGAGGGGUGAACCAGCCCAGGUUGGAAACAGAGCAGGUCAAAACUCCUGUGCCGAUCAGUAGUGGGAUCGCGCCCAUGAAUAGCCACUGCACUCCAGCCUGGGCAACAUAGCAAGACCCCAUCUCU